RNAcentral lists this ribosomal RNA (248 nucleotides) under uncultured bacterium. Its description in RNAcentral is "partial 16S ribosomal RNA". It matches the Rfam family "Bacterial small subunit ribosomal RNA", at positions 524 to 771 of the family's 1533-position model. The record is from RNAcentral.
UACGUAGGGUGCAAGCGUUAAUCGGAAUUACUGGGCGUAAAGCGUGCGCAGGCGGUGAUGUAAGACAGUUGUGAAAUCCCCGGGCUCAACCUGGGAACUGCAUCUGUGACUGCAUCGCUGGAGUGCGGCAGAGGGGGAUGGAAUUCCGCGUGUAGCAGUGAAAUGCGUAGAUAUGCGGAGGAACACCGAUGGCGAAGGCAAUCCCCUGGGCCUGCACUGACGCUCAUGCACGAAAGCGUGGGGAGCAA